UGCUCAGGUGGGUUUGUAAGUCAGAGGUGAAAUCCCAAAGCUUAACUUUGGAGCUGCCUUUGAUACUGCAAGUCUGGAGUUUGAGAGAGGGCAAUGGAAUAUCUGGUGUAGCAGUGAAAUGCGUAGAUAUCAGAUAGAACACCAAUGGCGAAGGCAGUUGCCUGGCUCAAAACUGACGCUAAAGCACGAAAAGUGUGGGGAAGCAAACA
RNAcentral lists this ribosomal RNA (209 nucleotides) under uncultured bacterium. RNAcentral's name for it is "partial 16S ribosomal RNA". It matches the Rfam family "Bacterial small subunit ribosomal RNA", at positions 568 to 774 of the family's 1533-position model. The record is from RNAcentral.